GAAACGGGUGGUAAUGCCGGAUGCUCCGACUCCUCGCAUGGGGUGUCGGGAAAGAUUUCAUCGGUAUGGGAUGGGGUCGCGUCCUAUCAGGUAGUCGGCGGGGUAACGGCCCACCGAGCCUACGACGGGUAGCCGGCCUGAGAGGGCGACCGGCCACAUUGGGACUGAGAUACGGCCCAGACUCCUACGGGAGGCAGCAGUGGGGAAUAUUGCACAAUGGGCGCAAGCCUGAUGCAGCGACGCCGCGUGCGGGAUGACGGCCUUCGGGUUGUAAACCGCUUUUGAUCGGGAGCAAGCCUUCGGGUGAGUGUACCUUUCGAAUAAGCACCGGCUAACUACGUGCCAGCAGCCGCGGUAAUACGUAGGGUGCAAGCGUUAUCCGGAAUUAUUGGGCGUAAAGGGCUCGUAGGCGGUUCGUCGCGUCCGGUGUGAAAGUCCAUCGCUUAACGGUGGAUCUGCGCCGGGUACGGGCGGGCUGGAGUGCGGUAGGGGAGACUGGAAUUCCCGGUGUAACGGUGGAAUGUGUAGAUAU
This 532-nucleotide ribosomal RNA is filed under the name Bifidobacterium pseudocatenulatum. Its description in RNAcentral is "bacterial SSU rRNA". It matches the Rfam family "Bacterial small subunit ribosomal RNA", at positions 153 to 697 of the family's 1533-position model. Lineage: Bacteria; Bacillati; Actinomycetota; Actinomycetes; Bifidobacteriales; Bifidobacteriaceae. The record is from RNAcentral.